Molecule: ribosomal RNA, 516 nt
Filed under: Diplohimas sp. n. BFS-2018
Lineage: Eukaryota; Metazoa; Arthropoda; Insecta; Hymenoptera; Ichneumonidae
Description: partial 16S large subunit ribosomal RNA
Rfam family: Archaeal large subunit ribosomal RNA (bases 384-516)
Source: RNAcentral
UCUUUUAGAAAAUAAUUUAAAGUCUAAUYUGCUCCAUGAUUAAAUUAAAUAGCUGCAGAAUUUUAACUGUACAAAGGUAGCAUAAUCAAUAGUUUUUUAAUUGAAAGCUGGAAUGAAUGAUUUGAUAAAGUAAAUAUUGUCUCUAAAUUAAAGAGUUUAUAAUUUUUUUUUUAGUUAAAAUACUAAAUUAAUUUUAAAAGACGAGAAGACCCUAUAGAUUUUUAUAUUUAUUUAUUAAUAAAUUAAAAUUAUAAAUAAUUUUUUAAUAAAAAAAAUAUUAAAUUGGGGUAAUUAUUAAAUUUAAUAAAUUUUAAAUAUUUAAAACAAAAAUUAUUGGAAUAAUUGAUCUUAAAUUUUAGAUUAAUAGAAUAAAAUACCUUAGGGAUAACAGCGUAAUUUUUUUAGAAAGUUCGUAUUAAUAAAAAAGUUUGCGACCUCGAUGUUGAAUUAAGAUAAAAUUUUAAAGUAGAGUUUAAAAAUUUUUGGUCUGUUCGACCAUUAAAAUCUUACGUGAUC